This 482-nucleotide ribosomal RNA is filed under the name uncultured bacterium. RNAcentral describes it as "partial 16S ribosomal RNA". It matches the Rfam family "Bacterial small subunit ribosomal RNA", at positions 30 to 507 of the family's 1533-position model. The record is from RNAcentral.
AUUGAACGCUGGCGGCAUGCCUUACACAUGCAAGUCGAACGGUAACAGGUCUUCGGAUGCUGACGAGUGGCGAACGGGUGAGUAAUACAUCGGAACGUGCCCGAUCGUGGGGGAUAACGAGGCGAAAGCUUUGCUAAUACCGCAUACGAUCUACGGAUGAAAGCGGGGGAUCUUCGGACCUCGCGCGGACGGAGCGGGCGAGGGCCGAUUCGGUAGUUGGUGGGGUAAAAGCUUACCAAGCCGACGAUCUGUACCUGGUCUGAGAGGAUGAUCAGCCACACUGGGACUGAGACACGGCCCAGACUCCUACGGGAGGCAGCAGUGGGGAAUUUUGGACAAUGGGCGAAAGCCUGAUCCAGCCAUGCCGCGUGCAGGAUGAAGGCCUUCGGGUUGUAAACUGCUUUUGUACGGAACGAAAAGCCUCUUUCUAAUAAAGAGGGGUCAUGACGGUACCGUAAGAAUAAGCACCGGCUAACUACGUG